This 755-nucleotide ribosomal RNA is filed under the name uncultured Microscillaceae bacterium. RNAcentral describes it as "bacterial SSU rRNA". It matches the Rfam family "Bacterial small subunit ribosomal RNA", at positions 64 to 815 of the family's 1533-position model. The record is from RNAcentral. Lineage: Bacteria; Pseudomonadati; Bacteroidota; Cytophagia; Cytophagales; Microscillaceae.
GAACGGUAAGUUAGAUAGCAAUAUUUGACCAAGAGUGUCGUAAGGGUGCGUAACACGUAUGCAAUCUGCCCUCAACAGGAGGAUAGCUCCCCGAAAGGGGAAUUAACACUCCGUAAUAUGUAGUGGUGGCAUCACUAUUACAUUAAAACUACGGUGGUUGAGGAUGAGCAUGCGCAUGAUUAGUUAGUUGGCGGGGUAACGGCCCACCAAGACGAUGAUCAUUAGGGGAACUGAGAGGUUGAUCCCCCACACUGGCACUGAGAUACGGGCCAGACUCCUACGGGAGGCAGCAGUAGGGAAUAUUGGACAAUGGGUGCGAGCCUGAUCCAGCCAUGCCGCGUGCAGGAAGACGGCCUUCUGGGUUGUAAACUGCUUUUGCCAGGGGAUAAAAAGUCCCUGCGGGGAAAAUUGAAGGUACCUGGUGAAUAAGCCACGGCUAACUACGUGCCAGCAGCCGCGGUAAUACGUAGGUGGCAAGCGUUGUCCGGAUUUAUUGGGUUUAAAGGGUGCGUAGGUUGUUUUGUAAGUCAGUGGUGAAAUCCGGCAGCUCAACUGUCGAUGUGCCAUUGAUACUGCAGAACUUGAGUACAGACGAGGUAGGCGGAAUUGACGGUGUAGCGGUGAAAUGCUUAGAUAUCGUCAAGAACACCGAUAGCGAAGGCAGCUUACUAGACUGUAACUGACACUGAUGCACGAAAGUGUGGGGAUCAAACAGGAUUAGAUACCCUGGUAGUCCACACUGUAAACGAUGAUUA